RNAcentral lists this long non-coding RNA (551 nucleotides) under Parus major (Great Tit). Its description in RNAcentral is "lncRNA (ENSPMJG00000002050.1)". The record is from RNAcentral. Lineage: Eukaryota; Metazoa; Chordata; Aves; Passeriformes; Paridae.
GCAAGCUAAAAUAUGCUGCAAGUUGGGACACUUUCUCACCUGAGCAUACACUGUGUUUCCAAAACAAACACUGGCAUAACUGUAUUUGCUCAGUUUCAAGCAGUUUUCCUCAAACUAUUUCAUGUUUCUUUUUUAUACCAGUCUUCUUGGACCAGUUCCCACCGACUGAAUCUGUGGAAGGCACCAUCCUCUACUGGUCCCUGCUGUGGGCAUUGGGAGGAUGCUCCUCCAUGCAUUUCACUGGCUGAAGUUCCUCUUCCUUGGCACAGCAGCAGCGGAAUGCAGGUGGCAGUGAGGGGCUCCAGGUGCUGGUGUUCUCCUUCUGCAGGAGGACACCCCACUCCUACAUCCCUGUGCUCCAGCCUCCUUCAUGCCAUGUGUCCCACCAAGGGAGACAAACAGCAAUUGUGACAGCUGACAGCAGUGUUUCCUGUGGAGCUUCCACAGAAACAGCCCCACAUUCCCAGGCUAACAACUGGGUACCUGUCUGAAAAUGGAGGACAAGGAAUUUACUGUAAAGAAAAAAAUCAGUGGCAGCCCUGCUGUAUUUA